GUGCUCACUUGGCAGUACGUACAUUAAAAUUGGAACAAUACAGAGACAAGUAUGGCCCUUACACAAAGACGACAUGAAAAUUCUUGAAGCAACUCAUAUUUUG
Delphinapterus leucas (beluga whale) is the source of this 103-nucleotide small nuclear RNA. Lineage: Eukaryota; Metazoa; Chordata; Mammalia; Artiodactyla; Monodontidae. The record is from Ensembl.